This 116-nucleotide ribosomal RNA is filed under the name Escherichia coli. The record is from RNAcentral. Lineage: Bacteria; Pseudomonadati; Pseudomonadota; Gammaproteobacteria; Enterobacterales; Enterobacteriaceae.
CCUGGCGGCAGUAGCGCGGUGGUCCCACCUGACCCCAUGCCGAACUCAGAAGUGAAACGCCGUAGCGCCGAUGGUAGUGUGGGGGCUCCUCAUGCGAGAGUAGGGAACUGCCAGGC